GUAUAUAUAGCUCAAGUGGUAGAGCACAUGCUUAGCAUGCACGAGGUCCUGGGUUCAAUCCCCAGUACCUCCU
RNAcentral lists this transfer RNA (73 nucleotides) under Camelus bactrianus (Bactrian camel). It matches the Rfam family "tRNA". Rfam says of the family: Transfer RNA (tRNA) molecules are approximately 80 nucleotides in length. Their secondary structure includes four short double-helical elements and three loops (D, anti-codon, and T loops). Lineage: Eukaryota; Metazoa; Chordata; Mammalia; Artiodactyla; Camelidae. RNAcentral also lists the same sequence under 2 other names. The record is from Rfam by way of RNAcentral.